CCCUUAGAUGUUCUGGGCUGCACACGUGCUACACUGGCAGGUUCAGCGAGCUUCAUGCCCUGAUCUGAAAGGAAUGGGAAAUCUUUUCAAAACCUGCCGUGCUUGGGAUAGAUGUUUGCAAUUAUUCAUCUUCAACGAGGAUUGCCUUGUAAGCGCACGUCAUCAGCGUGCAUUGAAUACGACCCUGUAUUCUGUACACACCGCCCGUCGCUCCUACCGAUUGAAGUUUUCGGUGAGUUGACAGGAGGAUUUUUUUGAAACUGGUUCGCCUGUGGAUUUUAGAUCCAAAUGCCAACGAAUCGAUGGCUUUAGAGGAAGGAGAAGUCGUAACA
This 332-nucleotide ribosomal RNA is filed under the name uncultured eukaryote. RNAcentral's name for it is "partial 18S ribosomal RNA". It matches the Rfam family "Eukaryotic small subunit ribosomal RNA", at positions 1470 to 1796 of the family's 1831-position model. The record is from RNAcentral.